Molecule: long non-coding RNA, 332 nt
Organism: Lineus longissimus
Lineage: Eukaryota; Metazoa; Nemertea; Pilidiophora; Heteronemertea; Lineidae
Exons: 3
Source: RefSeq, a predicted model, not a curated record
UUUCAGUUCCAAAAAGAUCUGUGGAUGGUGGUGGAGAUGGUCCUCAAUUUUUUUGUGAAGAACCUCCCUUACUAGUCAAAAAGAAGAAAGAGGCAACAAAAGUGGCUAGAUCUGAACAAGCCAAUGAGAAGAAAAAGGUGAAGAAAAGAAAAUCCAAAUCAGAGAAUGAUGAAAAUUCUGAGCCACCCAAACACAAACUGAAGAAACCAAAGAAGAAAAUCACAGGAAAUAAGGAGGAGAAAAAGCCACAGGGUGAAUCAGAGCGAGGGGAAAGGGUGAGGAAAGGAAAAGAUGGAGCGAAGAAAUCAAAGGAUAGUGGAGAAAAGAGAUGU